Molecule: ribosomal RNA, 253 nt
Filed under: uncultured bacterium
Lineage: Bacteria
Description: partial 16S ribosomal RNA
Rfam family: Bacterial small subunit ribosomal RNA
Source: RNAcentral
UACAGAGGUCUCAAGCGUUGUUCGGAUUCAUUGGGCGUAAAGGGUGCGUAGGUGGCAUGGUCAGUCGGAUGUGAAAUCCCGGGGCUCAACCCCGGAACUGCAUUCGAUACUGCCGUGCUGGAGUACUGGAGAGGAGAUUGGAAUUUACGGUGUAGCAGUGAAAUGCGUAGAUAUCGUAAGGAAGACCAGUGGCGAAGGCGGAUCUCUGGACAGUUACUGACACUGAGGCACGAAGGCCAGGGGAGCAAACGGG